RNAcentral lists this ribosomal RNA (497 nucleotides) under uncultured bacterium. Its description in RNAcentral is "partial 16S ribosomal RNA". It matches the Rfam family "Bacterial small subunit ribosomal RNA", at positions 28 to 507 of the family's 1533-position model. The record is from RNAcentral.
GAUGAACGCUGGCGGCGUGCCUAAUACAUGCAAGUCGAGCGAACAGAUAAGGAGCUUGCUCCUUUGACGUUAGCGGCGGACGGGUGAGUAACACGUGGGUAACCUACCUAUAAGACUGGAAUAACUCCGGGAAACCGGGGCUAAUGCCGGAUAACAUUUAGAACCGCAUGGUUCUAAAGUGAAAGAUGGUUUUGCUAUCACUUAUAGAUGGACCCGCGCCGUAUUAGCUAGUUGGUAAGGUAACGGCUUACCAAGGCAACGAUACGUAGCCGACCUGAGAGGGUGAUCGGCCACACUGGAACUGAGACACGGUCCAGACUCCUACGGGAAGCAGCAGUAGGGAAUCUUCCGCAAUGGGCGAAAGCCUGACGGAGCAACGCCGCGUGAGUGAUGAAGGUCUUCGGAUCGUAAAACUCUGUUAUUAGGGAAGAACAAAUGUGUAAGUAACUGUGCACGUCUUGACGGUACCUAAUCAGAAAGCCACGGCUAACUACGUG